AUCCAGCCAUCAAACUCCACCAAAUCCGUUUCUUCUUUGAGAUCAUUUUCUGUCUUGAAGGUAAGUAUUCUGAGGAAUUUUUUUUUUUUUUUUGCAGUUCUUACUGUGUCCAAACAGAAUAAAAAUCAUGAUAUCAUACCAUGAACAUCAGACUAAAAGUCAGGAAACCUGGACGGGAUCCAUUUGUGUUUUGUGAGAUAAUGGGCAACUCUUUCAGCUUCUUCAAGCCUCAGCUUUCUUAUUUGUAAAAUGGUUAUAAUAAUUUUACAAAGUAUGGAGGGACAGGAAAUAUUAGAGAAUGUCAUAGAACUGUGACCGAGGAAAGUCUCCGUUAAAUAUUUAUUAAUACUCAUGGCUUUGUAGGGGUGUCACUGUUCUUCCGCCUACAGGAAAUCUCCUGAAUUCAGCUCAAAUAUUUCAAAGAAUGGUAGAAUUGGAAGGCAGUUAAAAGCAGGCCACAAAGUGGUUGUAAGAGGUUCCUUAUAAGGUAUGUUAAAAGUAGUCAACACUCCAUCUAGUGCUUGAAACCUCACAAAAGGCUUCAGGCGGGACACUCGCCAUUUUGGGAAGCAGCCCAUCCCCUCUUGGCGGGGUCUGCCUGGAGCAGGCUCUGUCUCCCUCACGGACCACACCUGCUGUGGCCAGGGUGAGGUCAAGGGGCAGGCUUGGGCAUAUGCUAUUAAUAUUUUCUGCCAAAAUUCAUCAAGUUUACUCUUCAGGGGAUUGAUUUAGAUUGGGGGCUGCCUGAUUUUGCAUUUAUUAAAAUAUCUCAUUCAUGAAUUCCCUCACUUUGAAGUUUCUUUUGGAGGAAUAGGUGCCAUAACCAUGCAGGUGUUAUGCGUCUCUCUUGCUCUUUCCAUCCCUGCUCUGUAUGAAGUCCAGCCCAGCUGACCGACACCUGCAGCACGGAGGUCAGAACCAAGACCAGCGAGAGGCAACUUGGGGGCAGGGAAAAGAAAAAAGAAAUGAAAUAGCUGUCAUCAGUGAUUCGAGGCCCCAAGGGAGAGAGGAAGAGAUCAAAAGUCAACAUCUGUGAUUCUGCAAAUAGAAAAUGAAAUGUUUCCCAGGCAGAAGUGGUUCUAGGUUGCUUGGCUGGUCCCCAGUGAUACCAUUUGAGAUGGCUGUGCUCAAUCCAGAGCCUUUAAAGGGCACCCCAGAGCUGGCUGGCAUUGGGAAGCAGGAGUGCUGAGCCAGCCUCCCAGGGAAAACUAACGUAUGUGUGGAAAAGCCUGGGGAACAGUGGAGCCAGGCACAGAGAGUCCUCUGCUCCCUUGGAGACCUUAAGGAGGAGCAGGUUGAAAUAUCACCUUCCAUGGGACAGUUUGUACAGGUUGAUGUGGCUCAUACGCGCUGUUUCUGAUCUUCCGGCUCACCUCGUACAUGUGCAGCAGCUGACUCCACGCUCCUCAUUGCUUUUGUGGAAUCUUCUUCUGCUUCUCCAAAUGCCAGGCCAGCUCAUGUGUGGCUCUGCAGCGAAUUAACUAAUCCUGCAGGUCACCUGCACCAUGGAAAGGGAGUGAGACACAUCUGCCAGCCCUGCUGACUCAGGCCCAACACUGGACAUGGAAACAGCUGCCUAUGUACAUUGCUUAAUCAGCUCCCACAGUCGCACCCCCUUCCCUAAAUGUCUUCAUUCUACAUCACGUAAGUGGUUCUGUGAUUUUGAUCAAAUGCCAAUUGAUUGGUGGGAAGCCCAGUGACAUACAGUGACGAGAGCUGGGCUGUGAUCUCAAGACACACUGCAAAACCCUACCUUCUUCCAUGACAGCGCUUCCAUGCCCUGCUCUUUUUAAUCUUUGACACUCACGGUAACUUGUUCUAUAGGAAAAUUGGCUCAGCUUCUGCAGUAAGUCAAUAGGAUGGAGAAAAAUAGGGGUGAAGAAUAGAGGAGGGUGAACUUCUAGAUUACCAGAGAAUUAACAGACACAAUAACCAAAUACAACAUGAGGACCCUGUUCAGAUCCUAAUUAGAAUAAAUCAUCUUUAAAGAGACAUUUUUGAGAUGACUGGGAAAAGCUGAUUAGAGAUUAGAUAUUGGAUAAUAUUAAAAAAUUACUGCUCAUUUUUGAUAGGUGUGACAAUGACACUGGGGUUCUUUAGGAAAAUUUCUCAUUUUUGAGAUGCAUACUGAAAUCACAAUGCUUUAAAACAGUUCAGCAAAGAAAAAAGGGAUAAAUGAAGUAUCUUUGUCCAUUUGAGGUGCUAUAGAAAAACACCAUACAUUGAGUGGCUUUUAAACAAUAAACAUUUAUUUCUAACAGUCUGGAGGCUGGAAGUCCAAGAUCAAGGUGUCAGCAAAGUUGAUGUCUGAUGAGGGCCUGUUUCCUGGUGCCUUCUGGCUGUGUCCUCAUGUGGUACUAAGAGCAAGGUAACUCUCUGGGGUUUCUUUUUUAGGGGCACUAAUCCCAUUCAUGAGGGUGGAUAACCCUCAUGACUUAAUCACCUCCCAAAGGCCCCACCUCCCAAUGCCAUCACCUUGGGGAUUAGGAUUUCAAAAUAUGAAUUUGGUAGGGGUGACACACAAACUUUCAGACCAUAGCAGGAAGCAAUGUGGAUGCUUUUUGAUAGUUGUUGAAUCUAAGUAAUGGAUAAUGAAGCUUCUUUUACAACUUGCUGUAUUCUUGUGUGUUUAAAUCAGGUCAUUCCCACAGUGUGGUUCUCUCUGGCAUGUGGUUGGAUUUGGGUGUAAGACUUUAAGCAUCUCCAGUUGAUUCCCUGCCUGAAAACGGAUCAGGGAAAUGCAAAGUCCUUGAUGCUCAAGGUUGCUUUUCCCAGCUGCAUCUUGCUCUACGUCUCCAGAUACUUCUCUCUGCUCAUGGCUCAGAGAAAUUUGGCUUAUGGUGUGCGCCCUGCCCUGAGGCCCUCAACCAUGUUGCCUAUGUGCCCCCUCCAUGAAGAGGAGGCUGAAUGUGCUGCUCCUGGCUGAGCUGGUGAGACGAGUAUGUAGGGAUUUCUGUGGUCCAUGCAGAGCUGCAGCCUCCCCUCCCCCAGCCUUCAGAGAAGCCAGUCGCUCAGAGUCUUGACAUGCAAAUUCAAUUUGUGUGGGUUUAAAUGGGCAAAGACCUAGGUUUCUCAGACCUAGAGUCUGUGAAUUCUAUGGCUAUGUGGUAGAACCAUUGCAAUGGGGGUGGUGGGGCAGGGGGAGGAGGCAGUGCCAGGACUCUGAGGGACUCUUCUUCAUGUAAGGGUGAGGAGAAACUUCCCCUUUCCCCCAAAAGUUCUCUGAAAGAUCAACUCACAAUAAAGGCAGAUUAAGAAGAGAAAGAUUUAUUUAGGUAGAUUAAUAAGCAAAAGGUUUGUUUACCAUGUGCAUGGGGAGAAUCACAGAGUGAUUACUCAAUAUCCCAGUGGAAUUCAGAUAUUUUUAUACAAGCCUUUUAGACAGGAGGGGGAGAUGAGCAGUAUAGGUAGUUCUGUUUAGGGGCAAUAAAUGGUUGCUAGGGAGGAUGAAUAGAUGGGGGACAAAGAUUGACUUGUAAAUGAUUCUCUUAGCAAAUUAAAUCAACCUGAGAGGCAAGUAUUAUAUUUACAAUGAUUUGGGCCAGGUCUGGUUGCAUUCUUGAUCUUCUUUCCUGCAAUAUAUUGAGAUAACAGGGAGGAUAAGGGAAGUCCGGCACAGGUGCACACAGAGAAGGCAGAUGCUGUAGAAAUGCAGUGGUGACAGAAAGACCAUUCGUGAUAGCCCCUGGGGGGAAAAGUGUCUUUUUUGGUUUUUUUAAUUGAAUAUCUUCCAUAAGGGCUAAAUGAUGGAUUUUUGGGGUUUUUUUUUUUUUUUUUGGU
This is a non-coding RNA of Microcebus murinus (gray mouse lemur), 3780 nucleotides long. The record is from RefSeq and is a predicted model, not a curated record. NCBI's taxonomy places the organism in Eukaryota, Metazoa, Chordata, Mammalia, Primates, Cheirogaleidae.